RNAcentral lists this unclassified non-coding RNA (202 nucleotides) under Hevea brasiliensis (rubber tree). Lineage: Eukaryota; Viridiplantae; Streptophyta; Magnoliopsida; Malpighiales; Euphorbiaceae. The record is from RNAcentral.
AUAAAUCCUACACUACCUAGGCAAAAUCCUGGAAACUGGAGAAGAAUAACUUCUAUACUUCUUAUUCAUGAAUGGGUGUUGAAUUCCUUUGUAAAGACAGGGGUACUUCAACCACGGAAGACAGCAGCCUAUAAUUUAAAGACAAUUAACCAGCAAAGGGAGUAAGUGUGAAAUGUGUAAUGAGAGAGUAGUAUUACUGCCA